RNAcentral lists this transfer RNA (74 nucleotides) under Enterococcus faecium. RNAcentral describes it as "tRNA-Pro". It matches the Rfam family "tRNA". Rfam says of the family: Transfer RNA (tRNA) molecules are approximately 80 nucleotides in length. Their secondary structure includes four short double-helical elements and three loops (D, anti-codon, and T loops). Further hydrogen bonds mediate the characteristic L-shaped molecular structure. tRNAs have two regions of fundamental functional importance: the anti-codon, which is responsible for specific mRNA codon recognition, and the 3' end, to which the tRNAs corresponding amino acid is attached (by aminoacyl-tRNA synthetases). tRNAs cope with the degeneracy of the genetic code in two manners: having more than one tRNA (with a specific anti-codon) for a particular amino acid; and 'wobble' base-pairing, i.e. permitting non-standard base-pairing at the 3rd anti-codon position. The record is from RNAcentral. Lineage: Bacteria; Bacillati; Bacillota; Bacilli; Lactobacillales; Enterococcaceae.
CGGGAAGUAGCUCAGCUUGGUAGAGCACUUUGUUUGGGACCAAGGGGUCGCAGGUUCGAAUCCUGUCUUCCCGA